UGCCCUUCAAUACCAAACAUGCGGGCCAGGUCAUGUCUAAGUUCGUCAUAGCCUUUAUAACGGGUCACAUCAAUAGAUCUUCCUACAGAUCCACGCUUUUGAACCUUUGUAUAUGUUCGCAUGCGUUGAGUCUGGUUGGCCCACAAUCCACCAUUCAAAACCCCAGAAUCAUUUAUUGCAACAUCAUUGGAACAUCCAGGCUUGAAGGGUAUGUUUGGCACUCCAAAUGAUUGAGAGCUUAUCGCAGCAGUGGACAACUCUGUCUCAACAUCUCUUGGAGUCCCACCAUAAUUAGUUAGCAAGUUUUGAAGAUCUUUUUGGGAGUCAUAUCCCCUUGACAACAAAGUGUCAGGUGCCAAGCUAUCAAUAUUAGUUGCAAAAGGUAGACUGUUCCUAGGAUGUGAUUGGACAUCACCAUCCAAACCAAAGGUAGGGAGCGAGAAAUUUUGUUGGCUGUUACCAGCGUCCAGGCAAUAUGAUGUUCCAGAAGAAGAAAUUUCCAAUUGAUCAGUCAUUGCACCUUUGUAUUUUAGUUGGUCUAAUCCUUUUGAACUGGGAAACUCAUGUUUAACUUGAAUAUCAGACUUGCUAUUAAGCUCCUGAACUAGAUUAGUUGCAGGCUCAAUCACUGGGUCCCCCAGUAAUACAGCUGGUGAUUCUUGGUUUCUGUUUAGAAAAUUUGAUGGGGAAAUUUGGCAGUUAUCAGUGGAGGGUGAGGUUGAACAAGAUGGAGCAUCUCCAUCUGUAAGAGUGGAAUGGGCUCUAAUUGUUGUAGGUGACUUCUGUAGCACACGGGAAUGAUACACGGGAAAGGAUUGAGAUUGCAUGAGUGCAGCUGUUGAGAAGCUAUUGCUACUGAGUGGCUGACUCUGUGAAAGAGGCGACUGCUGGAAGUGCUGGUUUUGUUGAUGGUUCUGCUGUUGUUGCAAUAGCUGAGGCUGCAAAGGUGAGCUCGUAGGGGAAAGCAAUUGCUGCUGCUGCUGUUGUUGCUGCAAUUUCUGCAGCAAUUGCAAUUGAAGCUGCUGCUCAGAGAGGCUGGGUUGUGAUAGUUGUUGCACUUGUGGCUGUGGCGGUGGUUGUGGUUGUGUUCUCUGUGACAGGUUUUGUUGCAACAGCUGCAGUGGGGACUGUUGCAAUUGUGUCUGCUGCUGGUGCCUCUGCAGGAGGCUAGAUUGUUGCUCCAUUUGUUGCUGGAAUGGAGUAUCCUGUGGCAAAGAGGUCAGCUGAUACGAACUCUUAUUAGCAGGGGGGAUAUUUUGGGAUUGGGUAUUGCUUGCUAGUAGCUGCUGCUGCUGUUGAACCUGAGAGUAUACCAUCUGUUGCUGCAAAUUUUGAUUUGAAAUUUGGCUAGGGGUAACACUACCAUUAUUUACAAGAGGUUGGAAUAUGUGCUGCUGCUGUCGUAUUUGUCGAGGCUGUGGCUGCGGCUGGGGGUGUGGGUGGGGGGGGGGGGGGGGGGGGGGGGCCCGCCGCGGGCGCGGCGGGAAAACGCCCCUUAAUCUUUUUAUUGUUGGGGAUGAGGCUGCUGCUGCAGCUGUUGAGGCUGAGCUGGCUGCUGUUGGCUGAUAUUGGCCUGCAAUAAUUGCUGCAGUUGCUGCUGUUGGGUCCAUGUGGUAGAUGGCUGUGGCAGCUGGCCAACUUGGUUUUGUGGAUUUGCUUUGUUGAACUGGAUACUUGGUACAGACAGGCCAGGGGCUUGAAAAUUCAGUAACUUUGAGGGAUCAUCGGUGCUAACGUUAUUAUGCAAGGCAUUAGAAGGAAGCA
RNAcentral lists this unclassified non-coding RNA (1764 nucleotides) under Hevea brasiliensis (rubber tree). The record is from RNAcentral. Lineage: Eukaryota; Viridiplantae; Streptophyta; Magnoliopsida; Malpighiales; Euphorbiaceae.